Molecule: long non-coding RNA, 5135 nt
Filed under: Hordeum vulgare
Lineage: Eukaryota; Viridiplantae; Streptophyta; Magnoliopsida; Poales; Poaceae
Description: long non-coding RNA (HVUL_LNC008399)
Source: RNAcentral
UUAAGACUUUAGCCAGAAACGUGCUUGGUUCACGUUGCGGCAGUGUGAGUCGUAGUGUAGACAGAGUCCUUGUUUACUUAGUCAAGUAAUCGUGCAAGGAUCUGGCCACGAUCUGUCCGUGGGAUGGCACGGAGAAAACGGAUCGUGAUCAGCGCAUUGUGCGAGUUUGUUAUACAGCUGAAUAAAAGGAAUGAGCAGAAAAGACGUAGCGGUUACGCGUCGCAAAAAUCUCCCUGUUCGCUGCGUUCGUGCAGCUCGUCUUUCUCCUUCAGUUCAUCUCAGGUGUGUCCACCUCGCGUGAGUGUGUCGAUCCAAGGCUGGUUCUAACACUUGGUAUUCAGAGCCUGGUUCACGUACGGCGGCGGAGGUAGGAGGAGUUGUGGCGGCGGAGAUCGACGAUGGGCGACACUUCACCGAGCAGCAGCGGCGGCGGAAAGUACACGCCGCCGGCAAGGAGGCCUGGUGAUGAGGGCACGGCCGCGGAGGUGGCGAUCGUACCGCGCAUGCCGACGAGGACCGGCGGCGUCCCGAUCCAGUAUCCCAUGCUCACGGACUCGAACUAUGGUCUGUGGGCGGUGAAGAUGAAGCUGCUCCUUCGCCCCUACGGUGUCUGGCCGGCGAUCGAGGGGACAGGCGAGUUUAAUCAAAACAGGGAUGACGAAGCCUUUGCUGCCUUGUCUCAGUCUGUUCCCGACUCGGUGAUGAUGGCAGUGGCUGAAUGCACCACCGCUCACGAGGCCUGGGAAGCGAUCCGGCGCAUGCUUGUCGGUGAGGACCGCGUCAAGAAGGCGCGGGUCAAGCAGUUGAAGCGACAGCUCGACCGCAUGGAGAUGGACGAUGGUGAGUCCGUUAGUGUGUUUGCGCAGAAAUUGCUGACUCUCGUCGGAGAAAUCCGAUCGUUGGGCGAGACGGUGUCAGAUGAGUCGAUCAUUGAGGUCCUCUUCAACGCCGUCCCGAGCCGGUUUGGGGACAUCGUGAACACCAUUGAGCAGUGGGGUGACCUCAGUACCAUGACCGUGUCGGAGGCAGUUGGUCGCCUCGCCGCGUUUGAAGAGAGCCAACGCGGGCGGCGCCGUCAAUCCGGUGGGAAGGAGGACCAGCUGAUGCUGAUGACACAGGCCCUUGAGCAGCUCAUGAAGGGAAAAAAUGGGCCACCGGGAGCCGGCAGUAGCAACGCUGGUCGUGGCCGCGGAGGUGGUCGAGGUCGAGGCGGUGGCCGCGGUAACCGCGGACAAGCCGGGCGCGGCGAGAACAAGGACGUGGAGAAGCAGAAGAAACACCGUAAGUUCGACAUCACUAAGGUCAGGUGUUUUAACUGUAAUAAGAUGGGACAUUUUCAGUCAGACUGUCCAGAGCCCAAACGAGAGCAGGCAAAUUUUGCCCAGGAGGAGGAUGCAGAUGAGCAACCUCUGCUCAUGAUCGCAGCAUGUCAGCUGGCCCCAGCAAAGAUCGAGUUGACGGAACAAGUGUUCUUGAAUGAGAAGCAGGUGCUUCCGAAGCUAAGCGGUGAUUGGGACAUCUCCUGGUACUUGGACACCGGAGCAAGCAAUCAUAUGACCGGUUGCCGCGACAAGUUUGCAGAGCUCGAUGAGGCAGUAAACGGCAAGGUCAAAUUUGGCGAUGGUUCUGCUGUGGACAUCCGUGGACGAGGUUCAGUUCUCUUGAAGUGUCUCACAGGUGAGCACCGGGUUCUGACGGAUGUAUACUUCAUUCCUCGACUUAAGAACAACAUUAUCAGUUUGGGCCAGCUAGAUGAAAAUGGAUGCAAGUAUGCAAGUGAGGAUGGAGUAAUGACCGUGUGGGACAGAGAAAGAAAUGUUCUUGCACGAGUGAAUAGGACCAAGAACAGGAUGUAUAUACUGAACAUCCAGCCCACUGAACCUGUGUGUCUGCUUGCUCACGCUAAGGAUCAAGCAUGGUUGUGGCACAUGAGGUAUGGACAUGUAAAUUUCAGGUCACUUCGUACACUUGCAGCAGAAGAGAUGGUACAUGGCAUGCCGUACCUCGACCGGGUGGAGCAAAUCUGUGAUGGGUGCAUGAUAGCAAAACAGAGACGCCUCUCCUUCCCAGUUCAGGCGACUUACCGCGCAACGGAGCAACUUCAGCUCAUCCAUGCAGACUUGUGCGGACCUAUAACACCUGAAACGCCUGGCGCAAAGAGGUAUUUUCUUUUGUUAGUGGAUGACCACUCUCGGUUCAUGUGGAUUACUCUGUUGCGGAGCAAAGAUGAAGCUCUCAAUGGACUGCAGAAAAUCCAAAAGGCAGCUGAAGUUGAAAGUGGGCAUCAGUUAAAGGAAAUUAGAACAGACCGAGGGGGUGAGUUUACUUCAAGAGAAUUUGCAGAGCACUGUGAGCGGCACGGAAUCAAGCAUUUUCGCACGUCACCGUAUAGCCCACAACAAAAUGGUGUGGUUGAAAGGAGAAACCAAACCGUGGUGGGCAUGGCGCGCAGUCUGCUGAAAAGUAUGGGGGUGCCACCUCGGUUUUGGGGUGAAGCAGUGACCACUGCCGUAUAUUUGCUGAACAGAUCGUUGACAAAGAGUGUCAAGGGGAAAACACCAUAUGAGGCUUGGUAUGAGAAAAAGCCGUCAGUUCAACAUCUUCGUACUUUUGGUUGUGUUGCUCAUGUGAAGAAGGUUGGGCCCGGCGUGUCAAAACUCUCUGAUAGAAGCUCACAAAUGAUCUUUAUUGGUUAUGAACAUGGCUCCAAAGCCUACCGCAUGUAUGACCCUGAAAGCAAGAAACUUGUUGUAUCACGAGAUGCAGUGUUCGAGGAAGACAGGUGUUGGGAUUGGAGCAUCUCGGGAUCAGUGGAAAGUAGCGAUGGAAGUUCAUUUGUUAUCAGCUACCCAGAACAACCAAAUUGUGACGAAGCAGGAGAGGUAGCAGAAGACGUUGCCCCGGAGGCGGAUUCAUCAAGUAGAACCCCUGCAAUGGCAGCGCCUCGGCUGGGUGAUAGAACAAGACGUGCUAACGACGGGUCUGCGAUCCCGCUGGACCUAGAAGCCUCUCCGGUGACUCCUGCUUAUGCCCCUGGUUCUCCUGACACACCGUACUCCGAGCCUUCCGAGGGCCCACAAGGCAAGCGCCUUCUGGAUGAUGUCUAUGAGGAAACGACAGAGGUAGAGGCAGCCUACUCAGGCCUCUGUUUAUUUGGUAUGGAAGAACCUGCCAAUCACUUCGAGGCGAUGAAAGAGUCGUGUUGGCAGAGAGCUAUGCAGGAUGAAUUGAGCUCCAUUGAGGCAAAUAGUACAUGGCACCUUUGUGACCUGCCAAAGGGAUGCAGGCCCAUUGGUCUGAAGUGGAUUUAUAAGAGAAAGAAGGAUCCCAAUGGAGUUGUAGUCAAACACAAGGCGAGGCUGGUAGCUAAAGGGUAUGUACAACGCCAAGGGGUCGAUUUUGAGGAAGUUUUUGCUCCUGUUGCACGCUUGGAAUCUGUCAGACUUCUAGUGGCACUUGCUGCACAAUUUGGUUGGAAAAUGCAUCAUAUGGAUGUUAAAUCAGCGUUUCUCAACGGUGAUCUGAAUGAAGAAGUCUAUGUGAGCCAACCGCCGGGGUUUGAGAUUGCCGGAUGUGACAGCAAGGUGUACAGACUUAAGAAGGCUCUCUACGGCCUUCGACAAGCUCCAAGGGCAUGGAACUCAAAAUUGGAUACUACUCUCACUGAAUUUGGCUUUGAAAAAUGCCCUUCCGAGUCGGGUCUGUACAGGAAAAGGGCAGCUAAGUCAGUACUGAUAGUGGGUGUGUAUGUUGAUGAUUUGAUUAUCACUGGCGGCAGUGACCGUGCCAUCAAAGAAUUCAAGGACCAGAUGAAGUCUAAGUUUAGCAUGAGUGACUUGGGUCUACUAAGUUAUUACCUGGGUAUUGAAGUUAAGCAAUCAGAAGAAGGUAUUGUUUUGUGCCAAUCAGGUUAUGCUUCCCGGAUCCUUGAGAAAAUGGGGAUGUCAGACUGUAAGUCAGCCCAAACCCCACUGGAACCCAGGCUGAAACUCAGCAAGAACAGUAAGGCUAAAGAAACUGAUGCAACUCAAUACAGGAGUUUAGUGGGGAGUUUGAGAUACUUACUUCACACACGUCCUGAUCUCAGUUUUGCAGUGGGUUUUGUUGGCAGAUUUAUGGAGAAGCCCACAACAGAGCAUUUGGUCACAGUCAAAAACAUUUUGAAGUACGUAAAAGGAACACUCAACCUUGGAUGUGUCUACAACAAGUCUAGAGAGUAUGCGCCUCAACUGAUAGGAUACAGCGACAGUGAUCAUGCGGGAGACAUUGAUGAUCGCAAAAGUACUUCAGGUGUUCUGUUUUACUAUGGUGGCUGUCCCAUAACCUGGACAUCGCAAAAACAGAAAAUCGUCGCUCAGUCUUCCUGUGAGGCUGAAUAUGUAGCUGCUGCAUCAGCAGCUUGUCAAGGGAUUUGGUUAGCUAGGCUUCUUGGAGAAUUACUGGAUCAGAAGCCAAACAAGGUACUACUGAAAGUGGAUAAUCAAUCAGCCAUUUCCUUGUGCAAAAAUCCUGUGUACCACGAGCGAAGCAAGCACAUUGAGAUAAAAUAUCACUUCGUGAGAAGCUGUGUUGAGGAGGGGAAGAUCAUUGUGGAACAUAUAAGAACUGAAGAACAGCUUGCUGACAUAUUAACAAAGUCACUUCCUAGGGUUCGGUUCCAGGAGAUGAAGGAGAUGAUCGGAUUGCGUGAUGUGAAGUGAGUGCAGCAGAGAUUAAGGAGGUGAAUAUUAUGUUAACCUCGCUGCACCCAUGCUAAGUUCAGUUGUGUCAUGUUAUUUCAGCUAUCUCAUAAGCGUAUCUGUAUGCAGUUUGUUUAAGACUUUAGCCAGAAACGUGCUUGGUUCACGUUGCGGCAGUGUGAGUCGUAGUGUAGACAGAGUCCUUGUUUACUUAGUCAAGUAAUCGUGCAAGGAUCUGGCCACGAUCUGUCCGUGGGAUGGCACGGAGAAAACGGAUCGUGAUCAGCGCAUUGUGUGAGUUUGUUAUACAGCUGAAUAAAAGGAAUGAGCAGAAAAGACGCAGCGGUUACGCGUCGCAAAAAUCUCCCUGUUCGCUGCGUUCGUGCAUCUCGUCUUUCUCCUUCAGUUCAUCUCAGGUGUGUCCACCUCGCGUGAGUGUGUCGAUCCAAGGCUGGU